RNAcentral lists this ribosomal RNA (373 nucleotides) under uncultured bacterium. RNAcentral describes it as "bacterial SSU rRNA". It matches the Rfam family "Bacterial small subunit ribosomal RNA", at positions 406 to 796 of the family's 1533-position model. The record is from RNAcentral.
GGAUGAAGGCCUUCGGGUUGUAAACUGCGGUAGUAAAGUAACAAAUUAUUGAGUGCUUUACGGAAAGAGGUUGGUAACUACGUGCCAGCACCCGCGGUAAAACGUAGACCUCAAGCGUUAUCCGGAUUUAUUGGGCGUAAAGCGCGUGUAGGGGGUUUUGUGCGUCUUCUGUUAAAGCCCACGGCCUAACCGUGGAAGUGCAGGAGAUACGGCAGAACUGGAGGAGGUUAGAGGUGCAUGGAGCGCACGGUGUAGGGGUGAAAUCCGUUGAUAUCGUGCGAAACACCAAAGGCGAAGGCAUUGCACUGGGACCUUCCUGACCCUGAGACGCGAAAGCGUGGGGAGCAAAAAGGAUUAGAUACCCCCGUAGUCC